This 253-nucleotide ribosomal RNA is filed under the name uncultured bacterium. RNAcentral describes it as "partial 16S ribosomal RNA". It matches the Rfam family "Bacterial small subunit ribosomal RNA", at positions 524 to 776 of the family's 1533-position model. The record is from RNAcentral.
UACAGAGGUCCCAAGCGUUGUUCGGAUUCACUGGGCGUAAAGGGUGCGUAGGUGGUUAGGUAAGUCCGAUGUGAAAUCUCCAGGCUCAACCUGGAAAUGGCAUUGGAUACUAUCUAGCUUGAGGAGUGGAGGGGGGACUGGAAUUCUCGGUGUAGCAGUGAAAUGCGUAGAUAUCGAGAGGAACACCAGUGGCGAAGGCGAGUCCCUGGACACUUCCUGACACUGAGGCACGAAAGCGAGGGGAGCAAACAGG